Molecule: long non-coding RNA, 470 nt
Organism: Papaver somniferum (opium poppy)
Lineage: Eukaryota; Viridiplantae; Streptophyta; Magnoliopsida; Ranunculales; Papaveraceae
Exons: 2
Source: RefSeq, a predicted model, not a curated record
GAUCGUGAGGGUUGAGAAGAGGUCGGGGCAUAUUUGAGGAUGUCUAUGUUAAAUCGAUUAUGGUACUCAGAAUUCACAGAGAAAGUUACUCUUUUUAACAACGAUUGAUUCAAAGAUGAACAAGUGGAUUAUGGAUCGCAAGGUAGGCGAGGCUUGUCAUCAAAAGAGGUGGGAACUCUGUAAUCUUCUUGUAAUCAUUGAGCUUUCUUUCUAUCCGCGAGCAUGAUGUGUUUUUAAUAUCAGUAUGUAAAAUGUUUGCAAUGAAUGUAAAUAUGUGUGUAAUAUGUGUUGUGUGAAUCCUCCGCAAGAGGUGACCGUAUUUCCCCACGACUUCUUGCUAUGUUCUAUGUAAGCCGGGGAAAGUCGGUUGAAUAUUACGCACUUUACAUUUUUUUAGUAGACCGGGGGAAGCCAGUUAAAUAUUACGUGAAAAAGCGGGGGUCUAACAAUACCACCCAAUAUUUCGCUUA